CCUACGGGGGGCAGCAGUGAGGAAUAUUGGUCAAUGGACGGAAGUCUGAACCAGCCAAGCCGCGUGCGGGAAGAAGGCUCUAUGUGUCGUAAACCUCUUUUGUCCGGGAGCAAACGCUGGUACGCGUCCCCGUCUGAAAGUAUCUUACGAAUAAGCAUCGGCUAACUCCGUGCCAGCAGCCGCGGUAAUACGGAGGAUUCAAGGGUUAUCCGGAUUUAUUGGGUUUAAAGGGUGCGGAGGCGGUCUGUUAAGUUAGCGGUGAAAGCCCGGGGCUCAACCCCGGCCCCGCCGUUGAUACUGGCAGGCUAGAGUGGGGGAGAAGUAGGCGGAAUGUGCGGUGUAGCGGUGAAAUGCAUAGAGAGCGCGCAGAACACCGAUUGCGAAGGCAGCAUACC
This 395-nucleotide ribosomal RNA is filed under the name uncultured bacterium. RNAcentral describes it as "partial 16S ribosomal RNA". It matches the Rfam family "Bacterial small subunit ribosomal RNA", at positions 338 to 730 of the family's 1533-position model. The record is from RNAcentral.